UUCUAGAGUAGGUUCUCUCUUUCGAAGAA
Molecule: non-coding RNA, 29 nt
Filed under: Rattus norvegicus (Norway rat)
Lineage: Eukaryota; Metazoa; Chordata; Mammalia; Rodentia; Muridae
Source: RNAcentral